GGGCCCGCACAAGCAGUGGAUUAUGUGGUUUAAUUCGAAGCAACGCGAAGAACCUUACCAGGUCUUGACAUCGUAUGACAACCCUAGAGAUAGGGCAUCCUUUCGGGGCAUACAGACAGGUGGUGCAUGGUUGUCGUCAGCUCGUGUCGUGAGAUGUUGGGUUAAGUCCCGCAACGAGCGCAACCCUUAUUGCUAGUUGCUACGCAAGAGCACUCUAGUGAGACUGCCGUUGACAAAACGGAGGAAGGUGGGGAUGACGUCAAAUCAUCAUGCCCUUUAUGACCUGGGCUACACACGUAAUACAAUGGCACUUAAACAGAGGGAAGCAAGACCGCGAGGUGGAGCAAAACCCGAAAAAGUGUCUCAGUUCGGAUCGCAGGCUGCAACUCGCCUGCGUGAAGUCGGAAUUGCUAGUAAUCGCGCAUCAGCCAUGGCG
Molecule: ribosomal RNA, 436 nt
Filed under: uncultured Bacillota bacterium
Lineage: Bacteria; Bacillati; Bacillota
Description: bacterial SSU rRNA
Rfam family: Bacterial small subunit ribosomal RNA
Source: RNAcentral